UGAGUUGCUAUGAAGAUUAAAUGAGAGACAGCAUGUAAAGAAUAAUAUGUUGCCUGGAACAUAAUUAAUACUCAUUAAAUGAUUGCUUCAAAAGGAUAACAAAUCACACUUUGCCCCUCACUAGACAGAGAGAAAAGUCAUGGAGAUGAUUUGGCAUUGCCUCUAAGAAAUAAAUGUAAUACAUUAUUACUAAAACCAGGUCCUUUUGAAUGGAUUUGAUUAAUUUAGCCUGGUAUCUGUUGGGCUAAAGAAUAUAGUUAUGAUAUGCUUUUAGUUUUGUCCGUGAAUAAGAAACUACAUGUAUUGUUUGAAACCACUCUAAAUUCCCUUCCAACACAUUGUCUUCUAUAAGGCUAACUUUAAAGUUCAAUAGCAGGGCAUAUAAACCAUAUAAAAAAUUUCCCCAGAUUCCCCAAAUUAGAGACGAGUUAGGUUUUCUGAGUACACUCCUGUGAAGGUAAUGGGCAUAUUUAACUUCCUGUGGCAUGAAUAGAACUGUCCCAAUUGUGACCUUAACACUGCACAUACUAUACAAAUAAUGAAAAUAUCUCGGGGUUUUUCUAGCACUUUAGAAAAUAUCCUGACCAUUACAGCUGAUAUGUUUUUCAGUUGUAAAGAAAUCUUUUUGUGUAUGUGUGUGCGUGCAUGUGGGCACAUCAUUUUGGGAAU
RNAcentral lists this long non-coding RNA (669 nucleotides) under Marmota monax (woodchuck). The record is from RNAcentral. Lineage: Eukaryota; Metazoa; Chordata; Mammalia; Rodentia; Sciuridae.